RNAcentral lists this ribosomal RNA (241 nucleotides) under uncultured bacterium. Its description in RNAcentral is "partial 16S ribosomal RNA". It matches the Rfam family "Bacterial small subunit ribosomal RNA", at positions 15 to 248 of the family's 1533-position model. The record is from RNAcentral.
GAUCAUGACUCAGGAUGAACGCUAGCUACAGGCUUAACACAUGCAAGUCGAGGGGCAGCAUGAACUUAGCUUGCUAAGUUUGAUGGCGACCGGCGUACGGGUGAGUAACACGUAUCCAACCUGCCGAUGACUCGGGGAUAGCCUUUCGAAAGAAAGAUUAAUACCCGAUGGCAUAGUUCUUCCGCAUGGUAGAACUAUUAAAGAAUUUCGGUCAUCGAUGGGGAUGCGUUCCAUUAGGUUG